AUGAACGCUGGCGGCGUGCCUAAUACAUGCAAGUCGAGCGAACAGAUGAGGAGCUUGCUCCUCUGACGUUAGCGGCGGACGGGUGAGUAACACGUGGAUAACCUACCUAUAAGACUGGGAUAACUUCGGGAAACCGGAGCUAAUACCGGAUAAUAUAUUGAACCGCAUGGUUCAAUAGUGAAAGACGGUUUUGCUGUCACUUAUAGAUGGAUCCGCGCCGCAUUAUCUAGUUGGUAAGGUAACGGCUUACCAAGGCAACGAUGCGUAGCCGACCUGAGAGGGUGAUCGGCCACACUGGAACUGAGACACGGUCCAGACUCCUACGGGAGGCAGCAGUAGGGAAUCUUCCGCAAUGGGCGAAAGCCUGACGGAGCAACGCCGCGUGAGUGAUGAAGGUCUUCGGAUCGUAAAACUCUGUUAUUAGGGAAGAACAAAUGUGUAAGUAACUAUGCACGUCUUGACGGUACCUAAUCAGAAAGCCACGGCUAACUACGUG
Molecule: ribosomal RNA, 496 nt
Filed under: uncultured bacterium
Lineage: Bacteria
Description: partial 16S ribosomal RNA
Rfam family: Bacterial small subunit ribosomal RNA
Source: RNAcentral